AUGAAUAAGAGGGAACAAACAAGAAUUCCUCUAUGGUACUCGUGUCGUCAAAUGGUAGCAAACCAAAAUGAGUAUCAUUAUUCAAAGAUAAUUUGUUUGUAAAUGUGUUAGCCGUUAAUCACCUUAUACCAUCGUCUCCUUCCACCCUCUUUCAUUGUCCACACCGUCGAUCUGACCUCCUCGCGCGCCGGAUCCGGCCUCCACACCCG
This 209-nucleotide long non-coding RNA is filed under the name Hordeum vulgare. RNAcentral's name for it is "long non-coding RNA (HVUL_LNC020452)". The record is from RNAcentral. Lineage: Eukaryota; Viridiplantae; Streptophyta; Magnoliopsida; Poales; Poaceae.